Molecule: long non-coding RNA, 695 nt
Organism: Ictidomys tridecemlineatus (thirteen-lined ground squirrel)
Lineage: Eukaryota; Metazoa; Chordata; Mammalia; Rodentia; Sciuridae
Source: Ensembl
AUGAAGGCUCUGGAGCCUGCCUCGCCCAGCAGCAUCCAUCAGUGCCGUCAGUCUCCACUGGCUAAGUGCCUUUCCACAACCCACGGACCGGUUGGGCCAGCAGUGAUCAACCUUCGCCUGUUUCCGUUUCAAUUAGCGCGAGCUGAAGAGGAGGUACGACAUCACCGCCAUCCCCAGGCUCGUGAUCCUGAAACCAAACGGGGAGGUGAUCACCAGCAAAGGGCGGAAGCAGAUCCGGGAGCGGGGGCUGGCCUGCUUCCAGAGCUGGGUGGAGGCGGCCGAGGUCUUCCAGAAUUUCUCAGGUUGAACCGGGAGAAGGGACCACAGAGCCUGGACGGGGCGGCUCCUUCAGUGCAAACCCCCCGAGGGGAAAGAGGAGCCCGUUUUUUUCCCUUUCUCUCUAUGCAGCAUCUGAUUUUAUUUCAGAGCAGAAGUGCUAAGCCGUGGCAGAAAGUAAAUGUUGCUCAGGAAAAAAAAAACAAGCAAAAAUACCUCCUGCUCCGUUUGGAUCCUGUAGCUACGUGACAGUAAUUUUUAUUCUUUGCCUAGCUUUGGAGAUCUAUGCAAACAUUUUAUUUGUACAAGUCUCUUCAGGUAAAGUGAUCAGUUUAUGGAUGAAUUUUUCUGGCCAUCUAUCAUUUUAACGAUAUGUGUUAUAUGGUUUCACAACUCUAUUUAUUAUUAAACAAGUUUGC